Molecule: ribosomal RNA, 799 nt
Filed under: uncultured Glomus
Lineage: Eukaryota; Fungi; Glomeromycota; Glomeromycetes; Glomerales; Glomeraceae
Description: SSU rRNA
Rfam family: Eukaryotic small subunit ribosomal RNA
Source: RNAcentral
AUCAACUUUCGAUGGUAGGAUAGAGGCCUACCAUGGUGGUAACGGGUAACGGGGUGUUAGGGCACGACACCGGAGAGGGAGCCUGAGAAACGGCUACCACAUCCAAGGAUGGCAGCAGGCGCGCAAAUUACCCAAUCCCGACACGGGGAGGUAGUGACAAUAAAUAACAAUACGGGGUUCUUUCGGAUUUCGUAAUUGGAAUGAGUACAAUUUAAAUCUCUUAACGAGGAACAAUUGGAGGGCAAGUCUGGUGCCAGCAGCCGCGGUAAUUCCAGCUCCAAUAGCGUAUAUUAAAGUUGUUGCAGUUAAAAAGCUCGUAGUUGAAUUUCGGGAUCGACGGGUCGGUCGCGCCUCUGGUGUGUACUGGCCCUGUCGGUUUCUCCCUUCUGACGAACCACGAUGUCAUUAAUUUGGUGUCGUGGGAAAUCAGGACUGUUACUUUGAAAAAAUUAGAGUGUUUAAAGCAGGCAUUCGCUUGAAUACAUUAGCAUGGAAUAAUGAAAUAGGACGUUUGAUCUUAUUUUGUUGGUUUCUAAGAUCGACGUAAUGAUUAAUAGGGAUAGUUGGGGGCAUUAGUAUUCAAUUGUCAGAGGUGAAAUUCUUGGAUUUAUUGAAGACUAACUACUGCGAAAGCAUUUGCCAAGGAUGUUUUCAUUAAUCAAGAACGAAAGUUAGGGGAUCGAAGACGAUCAGAUACCGUCGUAGUCUUAACCAUAAACUAUGCCGACUAGGGAUCGGAUGAUGUUAAUUUUUUAAUGACUCAUUCGGCGCCUUACGGGAAACCAAAGUGUUUGGGUUC